Molecule: ribosomal RNA, 370 nt
Filed under: uncultured bacterium
Lineage: Bacteria
Description: partial 16S ribosomal RNA
Rfam family: Bacterial small subunit ribosomal RNA
Source: RNAcentral
CCUACGGGGGACUGCAGUGGGGAAUAUUGGGCAAUGGAGGAAACUCUGACCCAGCCACGCCGCGUGAAUGAUGAAGGUCUUAGGAUUGUAAAGUUCUUUUCUAAGGGCAGCAGAAAGUGACGGUACCUUCGGAAUAAGCCUCGGCUAACUACGUGCCAGCAGCCGCGGUAAUACGUAGGAGGCAAGCGUUAUCCGGAAUGUCUGGGCGUAAAGGGUGCGUAGGUGGUUUGACAAAGUGGUAGCGUAACUCGAGGGCUCAACCUCGGCACUACUACCCAAACUGUCGGACUUGAGUGCAGGAGGAGCAAAUGGAAUUCCUGGUGUAGCGGUGGAAUGCGUAGAUAUUAGGAGGAACACCAGUGGCGAAGGC